Etheostoma cragini (Arkansas darter) is the source of this 696-nucleotide long non-coding RNA. RefSeq lists it as uncharacterized. NCBI's taxonomy places the organism in Eukaryota, Metazoa, Chordata, Actinopteri, Perciformes, Percidae. The record is from RefSeq and is a predicted model, not a curated record. The transcript is spliced from 3 exons.
GAAGACUAAAUCUUUCUUGUGUGUGUAUGUGGCCGUGUGCACCAAGCAUGUGUGUGUGUGUGUGUGGGUUUGUGUAUGAACAUAAUAUGCAUGUGAGUGUUUCAGUUCUACUUAAUUAACUCUCUUAGCUCACAGUUUAAUAACACUUAUUUAAACAUAGCUGACCUGCUCCAACAACUGGAUCCCUUUCUGUACAAAACAGAUGAGUGUCUCCAUGGGAACCAUGGCCUCCUCCUCCAUAUUUGUCAGGAGUAAACAGUAGUUUCAAUGUCUCCACUCGCUGCACCUCAUGGAGAAGAGGGAGACCUAUGUACAUUUGCAGAUUUUGGAUCUCUAGCAGGAGUCUCCAAAAUAUCCAGCGCAGCACGGCCAAGUGGUUUUAACACAAAGACACUGCCAGGUGUUGCAGCUCUGGCCCCCUGCCCCCCUGCCUCCUCCCAUCUAAGGAAGAGCAGAAGCCAAUUGCAUUCAAGACCCAACACCUGCUUUCCUGAGUGAUGCAACCCUACCUCGAGAAACCUAUUCAGAUGAAUGACGUGCAUCCCUGCGAACUAUGGGUGGAUGUUAAGAGGAUGCUGAAAUCCACAGACUGACCCCCUAAGCCUGUCUCUGAACAGUUGACUGUACAGUUUGAUCACAAAGAAAUCAAAAAGAAGUUAACAAAAUAUGGCGAUGCUCAGCGGUGGAAAGCCAUCA